RNAcentral lists this ribosomal RNA (494 nucleotides) under uncultured bacterium. RNAcentral describes it as "partial 16S ribosomal RNA". It matches the Rfam family "Bacterial small subunit ribosomal RNA", at positions 28 to 507 of the family's 1533-position model. The record is from RNAcentral.
GACGAACGCUGGCGGCGUGCUUAACACAUGCAAGUCGAACGGAAAGGCCUGCUUUCCCUUGUGGAUUGCGGGUACUCGAGUGGCGAACGGGUGAGUAACACGUGAGUGAUCUGCCCCCAACUUGGGUAUAAGCCUGGGAAACUGGGUCUAAUUCCCGAUAGGACUGCAGGGUGGUGCCUGUGGUGGAAAACGAUUUUCUAGUGGUUGGGGAUGAGCUCGCGGCCUAUCAGCUUGUUGGUGGGGUAAUGGCCUACCAAGGCGGCGACGGGUAGCCGGCCUGAGAGGGUGGACGGCGACAUUGGGACUGAGAUACGGCCCAGACUCCGACGGGAGGCAGCAGUGGGGAAUAUUGCACAAUGGGCGGAAGCCUGAUGCAGCGACGCCGCGUGGGGGAUGACGGCCUUCGGGUUGUAAACUCCUUUCGACCGCGAGGAAGCCACCUGGUUGGAAGGGUGGUGACGGUAGUGGUAGAAGAAGCACCGGCUAACUACGUG